Molecule: ribosomal RNA, 512 nt
Filed under: uncultured bacterium
Lineage: Bacteria
Description: partial 16S ribosomal RNA
Source: RNAcentral
GGAGUUAGCCGGUGCUUCUUCUGCGAGUAACGUCACAGAUGUAAGGUAUUAACUUACACCCUUUCCUCCUCGCUGAAAGUGCUUUACAACCCGAAGGCCUUCUUCACACACGCGGCAUGGCUGCAUCAGGGUUUCCCCCAUUGUGCAAUAUUCCCCACUGCUGCCUCCCGUAGGAGUCUGGGCCGUGUCUCAGUCCCAGUGUGGCUGAUCAUCCUCUCAGACCAUCUAGGGAUCGUCGCCUAGGUGAGCCUUUACCUCACCUACUAGCUAAUCCCACCUGGGCUUAUCCAUCAGCGCAAGGCCCGAAGGUCCCCUGCUUUCCCCCGUAGGGCGUAUGCGGUAUUAGCAGUCGUUUCCAACUGUUAUCCCCCACAAAUGGGCAAAUUCCCAGGCAUUACUCACCCGUCCGCCGCUCGUCAUCUUCAAAAGCAAGCUUUUAGAAAUGUUACCGCUCGACUUGCAUGUGUUAGGCCUGCCGCCAGCGUUCAAUCUGAACCAAGAUCAAAUUCUGA